This is a long non-coding RNA of Salarias fasciatus (jewelled blenny), 1465 nucleotides long. RefSeq lists it as uncharacterized. The transcript has 2 exons. The record is from RefSeq and is a predicted model, not a curated record. NCBI's taxonomy places the organism in Eukaryota, Metazoa, Chordata, Actinopteri, Blenniiformes, Blenniidae.
CCUCAAACCGUUCGACGCCUUUAGCCAAAAGGCUCAACUGUUUAUCAUGGAGUGAAUUUCAGAUUUCUGUGUAUUUGCAUUUGUGCCAGUGAUUUAAUACUUUUUCAAAGCAAAUAUGUGCUCUUAAAUAACACGAUGUUAUCAGCGGUGACUUCUCGUCCCUCGGUCCAGUUUCAGGAGAAACAAAAACACGACGUGUCGGCCGCCGUUAUCCGGCUAUCAGGAAAACAACGGCAGCCGCAGAAGCUGCUGACAAACAGCGUGUGGUUAUCUUUACGUAAGAACCAGACUGAUGAAAUCCGGCCUCGUGACGCAGAUGAAUCACUCCGCCUUGUUUCACUUUCCAGACUGGGUGAAGCCUCCGGACGAAUCUCUGAUCGAGCUUUGAUUUUAUGAUUUCCUGGAACUCGCAGUGUUUUCGGCCACAGCAGUCCAGAUGUGCUUCAGGAGCAGAGGAGGGCGGGGCGGGCCACGGAGCCUCCGGGGUUAAAGGUGAACCGUGGCGUAAACACGGCGUCUGGAGGGAGGAACUUGGCCGGCUGCUGGGGUUUUCUGCUACGUCACGGCGCUAUUUAAACCCGGGCUGCUAUCAAUAGUCCAGACCUGUUCCUUCUUGUCGAGCAGCUUCAUAAGCGGAGCGGAGAGACGAGCUGAAGCGUGAACCAGGACCAGCAGAGCCAGCAGCCAGCAGAGCCAGCAGCGCCAUGGCCAGAACGAUGCUACCGCCGCCACCGUGGACCUCUGCGCACGGGAGCUGCGGAAGGUCGGCGACGAGCUCUACUGGAGGUACAAGCUCCUGGAGAUCCUGAUCAAGAACUACCAGACGGCGAGGAAGGCCCGGUGAGGCAGGCCGGACCGGCCUGGAACAUGAGCAGAGGCGUCUGAGAGGACGGACUCCCGCACCUGAGGAGACGGCCUGCGGGGGGCGCCGUGGAGAGCAGUCAGCCACCGACCACCAGGCUGAUCCACCGACCGGAGGAGGGAGGACCAGACACGUCUGGAUGGAGACCGGGUGAGAAGAGGCUCCGCCUGGAGGGAACGCCACUCACUGGGACCUGGUUCAGAAAGAACCCUGACCCUGUGCUGAGGGCCUGUCGGGAUGUGAAACAGGACGUUCCCCGUCGGGGCGGCUGUGAGUCGCUGGUACAGCGGUCGCUCAACUGGAAGGUUGUUGGUUCAGUUCCCGCUCACUGCAGAAGUGUCCUUGAUCCAGACCCUGAACCCCAAAGCGCUCCCAGUGGAUGGUUAGGAUGGCAGCCGCCCGCGCCGGGCUGUGUGUGUGUGUGUGCGCGCGUGUGUGUGUGUGUGUUCUGAUUCUGAUGUCAACAGUGAAACACAACAUUGUUUAUAUUGUUCUGCCUGUGAGAAAAUCUUUCGAUGUACAGGUUUCUCUUUUUUAAAUUGAUUUUGUGGGAAAUGUGAGAAGAUCUGGAAAUUUAAAUAAACAUGUUUGUUUAGUUUUUGA